This 497-nucleotide ribosomal RNA is filed under the name uncultured bacterium. RNAcentral describes it as "partial 16S ribosomal RNA". It matches the Rfam family "Bacterial small subunit ribosomal RNA", at positions 28 to 507 of the family's 1533-position model. The record is from RNAcentral.
GAUGAACGCUGGCGGCGUGCCUAAUACAUGCAAGUCGAGCGAACAGACGAGGAGCUUGCUCCUCUGACGUUAGCGGCGGACGGGUGAGUAACACGUGGAUAACCUACCUAUAAGACUGGGAUAACUUCGGGAAACCGGAGCUAAUACCGGAUAAUAUAUUGAACCGCAUGGUUCAAUAGUGAAAGACGGUUUUGCUGUCACUUAUAGAUGUAUCCGCGCCGCAUUAGCUAGUUGGUAAGGUAACGGCUUACCAAGGCAACGAUGCGUAGCCGACCUGAGAGGGUGAUCGGCGACACUGGAACUGAGACACGGACCAGACUCCUACGGGAGGCAGCAGUAGGGAAUCUUCCGCAAUGGGCGAAAGCCUGACGGAGCAACGCCGCGUGAGUGAUGAAGGUCUUCGGAUCGUAAAACUCUGUUAUUAGGGAAGAACAAAUGUGUAAGUAACUAUGCACGUCUUGACGGUACCUAAUCAGAAAGCCACGGCUAACUACGUG